Molecule: long non-coding RNA, 4195 nt
Filed under: Sus scrofa (pig)
Lineage: Eukaryota; Metazoa; Chordata; Mammalia; Artiodactyla; Suidae
Description: lncRNA (ENSSSCG00000062525.1)
Source: RNAcentral
UGCAUGCACACUGGAGACACAGAGAAAGAACAUUUAUACCUGAUGGGGAGUAAAUUAAACUAAAUUUAUUGUUUAAAUAUUUUAUACUUGUUAUAUGUACUAAAUCUGCAGACUGAGGAUUAUAAAUCCAUAAUGUAAAAUGAGGCAUUCAAACUCAACAAAAAUUACUCUAGGAAUUUAAUUACUGCAUUUUAAGGCAUAUAAAAUACACUACAAUAAGUGAGAUGGUUCUACAAAAUGUUCAUUACAUAGAAGUUCGAAUGAGAAACACCUCCCAGAUCCACAAACUGCAGUAUAUAUGUCUUAUAAAAAUUACUCUUAAAUCUUACAUUUCCCUUUUGGGACAUUUAUUGUUCCUGGAGAAAGCAGUAUUUUCUUUCCAAUUCCUAAAUCUGUCUUCGAUUAAACUAGAGAACUUUAUAAAUCAAUAAUAACCUUUUAGAUAUCAACCCCUUCAUAAUUAUACCCUCCAAAUCCGGGUAAUUGUUUGCAUACUUUAUACAGAAAAAAAUUGGGGAAAACAUAUGUUCCAUUUGAUUUGGGAAGUGUAAUGAUUUAGAUUGUUUGUCAACAUUUGUGAAGUUUGGUUCUGUCUUCUUUUAUAUUACAUUUGAAAAGUUAAUUUAUUUCACACAGAGAAACAAAUAGAUCAGGUGACGUUAUUCAGCUCUGGAGGAAAAACAUCGCCUCUUAGAAACUGAUAUGGAUUUUAUCAUAAUAUAGCUUUUGUUAAAGAUAAUACUGUAUAACCAGUGAGUUUAAAUGAAUGUUUUAUUUUACUCAGAUCAAUCUUUGGAUCUUUCUGAUGCUUCUGGUACAUUUCCCAACAGGAAGUGGAUAGACACUAAAACGGGAGUGAUCUCAGAUUAAGAAAAAACACAGACAUCUUGAAGACUUUCUAUAUUUGUAGAAUGAAAUGACAGCAACCAGAGAGGCCUGAGGCUGUUUUCCUAGAUGCCUACUCUGGGUGCCAGCCAUCUGUGUUCAUUUAGAUUGUGUGUGUGUGUGUGUGUGUGUGUGUGUGUGUGUGUAGGUAAAAGGGGGGAGGGACUGAUCUCAAAUUGCAUGUCUGAGUGUGGGCUUGGAUACAGAAUGUAACCUUCUGCCUGGUGCUUCUCAAACAAGACCCCUCAUCUGCAGGUCCCUCCAGAGAAGUAAUUUCACCAAUACCAGCUGCAAGGGGAAUGUUUUGUGUUUUCUUUAUUCGAAGUGAAAGAUGUUAAACAGAAAUUUUCAGAAGCACUUUUGUUUGGAAAAGGGGAAAGGAAGAUCACGGAAACUGGAAAACAUCCAUGAAAUUAGCCCCAAAUCAUUGCCAAUACUGAUCAUUUCCUGACAAGCUGUCUAUCAGCAAACCCACAACAAUAGUUUAUUCAGGGCUUUCUGGUGCCAACAGUGAUGUGGCAUUGCUAAUUAAAUGUUGGUACAAUUGUGAAUAUUUUUAAGUUUCAACUUUCAUUACUUUUACCAUGGAUAGAAUGCACUUUAUUAUCAGGAGUCCUCCAAACAUUUUGUUAAUAUGCUUCCCUUUCAGGUUGCUUUAGCAGGAAUUAGAAUAUCAAUUUAAAGUAAAAGCCCUGCAUGCCAGUUUAACUCACCUAAAGGUAGUGAACAGGAAGAGAGCAGAAAGUAUGGAUGCACUUGGCCAUGUUAGCUCCAAGUUUGGUGUUUAUUUGUGAAAAACCUAUUUUAAAAAGUCUAUAAAUAGGAGAGGGAAAAUGAGGUAAUUUGACUGUAUGAUUGUAUUUAUUCAUUAUGCAUAACCAAAAAUCCUGGCUCCUUUAUGUACAUAUCUGUAAAAUUUCUCAACAUUUCUAUAGCCUGCGAUAUCAUUGCAAUUUUCUUCCAAUGUUAUAUUCUCUCCCUCCCCCUUUCUCAUUCUCACAUUGUUUAUGUGACCUUCUUUGACAUAUUCUGUUCUUAAACAUACAUUGGUCAAUGUUGCAAUUCUAAAACCCAUGUCAUAAUGCCAUAGGAGGGCAUACCAGAUGCUAGGGUUAACCUUCUGGAUGUCACAUCUGCUUACAGUAGUCUGAUUUGGAUUCUCAACCUAGUGUCAAAUUAUUCAUUUUUGAAACUACUAUAAAGUGUGAAACUAUCUCUAUGAAGUCCUCCUAAAGGGGGAAAAUUUGUGUUUAUUAACUACAUAAAAGCCCAUUUUCAAAUAGCACCUAAACUUAGUAAUAGUAAGGACAUUUUAUAUAUCCUAGACUAGUGUGUAUCCAGGAUUUGGACAUCAUCUAGACCCUUAGAAGAGGGAACGCUUAUUGAGUAUUUCACAUAUUUUAAGAAUUAUUUAAAAUGAGAAACAGAUUCACUUGGGUAGCGUAUUGCCCUGAAAAUUCACUGGCCCGAAUUUGCACACCACAAUGCAAAAGAUGCAUAAGGAACUAUUUAAAUAGCUGCAUUCUUGCUAUUCUGGUAUUUAACAGCUCUCUAAGAGAUUUCUUCCUGGAUGCAAAGCAUUUUCUUCCUAAAUGCUCAGAUAAAAAUCCAUCUCCACACAUUGCAGUUUGUGUGUUCAUGUUACUUUGUCUGAUUUCAUAAAAUAGCAAGCACUUAUCUACCCUAAAUCAUAAGAUUCUCACAAAAUUACAGGACAAAGAUCCUGUAUUUCAGAAACUUAGCAUGGGUUGGGGAAAGAAAAAACUAAUAAACAUGGUAAAUAAACAGAGACCAUAUAUUCUUUGAAGUGCAAUAGGAAAUGUAUUUGCAAGGGAUUAGAUGAAUAAAAAGCAAUGACAUAGACUGAAGAAAGAGAAUGCCUUGUGAGUCUUAACAUUUAAAGAGAAUGCCUUAUAAGUCUAACAUUUUUAAAAAUCAAUAUAUUCAUAUUUCUUUUUGGCCUUGUAAAAGUUGAAUCAUAAAUGAAUGAAUGAAUUAUAAACAAAUUGAUUCAAAGGUAGUUACAUAGACCUCAUUCCAGAUUAUGGAAGAGCCAUCAACACAUAUUUAGAAGCACUCAGAGGUCUUGGGUAGACACUUUUCUAUUUCCUGUGAGGUAGGGCCACCUUUUUAACUGACCCCCCACAUUAAAACUGAGAAGUUCUACUUCCUGACAACACUGAAAAAGUCUUAUCUCAACAGCAAGUCAAAUGUUUUAUUGUCCUUUUUAAAUAGCAUAUCGUUCACAUAAUAUUGAAAACAAAUAUAUGUUUAUUGAGCAUGUAUAAUUAUACCAGCUGGGAUAAAAUAUAAAACAAAAAUAAAUUUUUAUUUUGAAAGAGUGGUAAAAGCAAACUUACUGUGGGGCUAACACCAAAGAGAACCCUUUGGGCAGAGAGGAAUGCAGAAAAGAAGCAAAAAAUAAUGUUAUAGAGAUAAGAGGAAAUCAGGUAAUUUUCUGCCUUUAAAAAAGAAUAAGCAGCCUAAACUUAAUAACACUGUAGGAUCUUCAACAGGGAGUGACAUAAUGAAAUUUUUUUUUAGAAACAUCACUCUGACAAUGAUGUUGGAAGGUUGGUGGGAGAGUGGUCUGGAAGAGACACUUACUGGCAGCUGUUGAAGUAAUCCAGUGAUCAUACCUGAGUGAAGGUCAUGGCAGAGUUAAAUAUAGGAACCUAAUUUGUGAACACUUUGGAGAAAUAAAUAAUGGUAAUACAGUCUAAAUAAAGGAUGAGAUAAAUGGCAAAGCGACCAAGAUGACAUCAGCCUCUCAAGCUUGGGAAACUAGAAGAAUGGUAAUAUCACUCAGAAAUGAAAAAGUUGGGACAUUGGUAAGGAAAUAAAAUUUUAAACUGUAUUAAGUAUUUGAGGGGAGCUUCCUGGUGGCCUAAUGUUUAAGGACUUGGCAUUGUCACUACUGUGGCUCAUGUUCAAUCUCUGGCCCAGGAACUUCCCUAUGCCAUGGGCAUGGCCCCCCCAAAAAAAAGUAUUUAAGGGGAGGAGCUCAAGAUGGUAGUGUAGGAGGAUGCAGAACUUACCUCCCCCCACAAACACAUCAAAAAUAUAUCUACAUGUGGAAAAAUUCUCACUGAAAACUAAUUGGAGUCUGGUGGAAAGACUCCUGUACCGUUCCCGUUGUGGCUCAGCGGUUAACAAAACUGACUAGCAUCCAUGAGGACGUGGGUUUGAUCCCUGGCCUCCAUCAGUGGUUUGAGGAUCUGGCGUUGCUGUGAACUGUGGUGUGGGCCAGCAGCUACAGCUCUGAUUAGACCCAUAGCCUGAGAACUUCCAUAUGCCAUGGGCACAGCCU